CCCCAUCCAUAACCCUGCAAAAGAGGGAUAGUGAGAGAAAGGGGUAGAGAGAACCUAGAGAGAGGAGAAAUGAUGAACCGCCGGAAGACUCACCGAAAACUACCGUCGGAGUCUAUUCCGGUGAGGAUCAUGAUGCAAGGAGGUGAAGAUCAUGCAUAGAGACUUUCUUGGAAGGGAAAAGAGAAUGUGGGUGGCCGGAGUCCCAUUUUUCAUCAAGAAGUCGGAAAACCCGCAAGGAACAACUCUAUGCAUGAUCUAUGAAGAAGUUUGGCCGAAACCUCAACCCGAAGGCGGAGAUUCGAGAGUCGUCCGAGAACGGGACUUAAUUUAGAGAAAUCAGUAGUUUUGGACACCUCACGGGCAAAGAAACGCUAGCGAAAGGGCACGCGUCAACCAGGUGUUCACUGGCUGCUGGUCGAGGUAGAGGAGCGUUUGAGAGCUAUACAGUCACAGAGGGGGUCGUUCCGGAGCGUCAGUCCCUUUUCGGUCUUUUAGAGUCUUUUGUAUUUCAUUUUAUAUUUGCAAUUUCUUUUGUAAUAAUUAACAAACAAAAUUUCUCUC
Cucurbita moschata (crookneck pumpkin) is the source of this 561-nucleotide long non-coding RNA. RefSeq lists it as uncharacterized. NCBI's taxonomy places the organism in Eukaryota, Viridiplantae, Streptophyta, Magnoliopsida, Cucurbitales, Cucurbitaceae. The transcript has 4 exons. The record is from RefSeq and is a predicted model, not a curated record.